ACCUAUAUGUCAUACCAAUGUCACCACACUCUUUGGUUAAGAGGAUAACCAAUCUAUAUGGCAUACAAUAACCUUCACUCGAUAAACAUCAUCAUCCCAUAAUGAUGUAUCAUUUGAUCGCGAACAUGUUUAAGAACUAUAUGAUAAAUCCUAUCUUUAUCAUACACUAAUAUAGUUCUAAGAAGUUCAUCACAACACAAGAGUUCUACAAGGAAGAUAUAACUUUGUGGUGAA
This 234-nucleotide long non-coding RNA is filed under the name Elaeis guineensis (African oil palm). RNAcentral's name for it is "long non-coding RNA (EGUI_LNC055027)". The record is from RNAcentral. Lineage: Eukaryota; Viridiplantae; Streptophyta; Magnoliopsida; Arecales; Arecaceae.